CCUACGGGUGACAGCAGUGAGGAAUAUUGGUCAAUGGGCGAGAGCCUGAACCAGCCAAGUAGCGUGAAGGAUGACUGCCCUACGGGUUGUAAACUUCUUUUAUAAAGGAGUAAAGUGAGGCACGUGUGCCUCUUUGUAUGUACUUUAUGAAAAAGGAUCGGCUAACUCCGUGCCAGCAGCCGCGGUAAUACGGAGGAUCCGAGCGUUAUCCGGAUUUAUUGGGUUUAAAGGGUGCGGAGAUGGGUUGUUAAGUCAGUUGUGAAAGUUUGCGGCUCAACCGUAAAAUUGCAAUUGAUACUGGCUGUCUUGAGUACAGGUGAGGUAGGCGGAAUUCGUGGUGUAGCGGUGAAAUGCUUAGAUAUCACGAAGAACUCCGAUUGCGAAGGCAGCUUACUAAACUGCCACUGACAUUGAUGCUCGAAAGUGUGGGUAUCAAACAGGAUUAGAUACCCUGGUAGUC
RNAcentral lists this ribosomal RNA (460 nucleotides) under uncultured bacterium. RNAcentral's name for it is "partial 16S ribosomal RNA". It matches the Rfam family "Bacterial small subunit ribosomal RNA", at positions 338 to 795 of the family's 1533-position model. The record is from RNAcentral.